Molecule: ribosomal RNA, 445 nt
Filed under: uncultured bacterium
Lineage: Bacteria
Description: partial 16S ribosomal RNA
Rfam family: Bacterial small subunit ribosomal RNA
Source: RNAcentral
GUGAGGAAUAUUGGACAAUGGGCGCAAGCCUGAUCCAGCCAUGCCGCGUGCAGGAAGACGCAUCUAUGGUGUGUAAACUGCUUUUGUACGGGAAGAAACACUCCCUCGUGAGGGAGCUUGACGGUACCGUAAGAAUAAGGAUCGGCUAACUCCGUGCCAGCAGCCGCGGUAAUACGGAGGAUCCAAGCGUUAUCCGGAAUCAUUGGGUUUAAAGGGUCCGUAAGCGGUUUAAUAAGUCAGUGGUGAAAGCCCAUCGCUCAACGAUGGAACGGCCAUUGAUACUGUUAGACUUGAAUUACAAGGAAGUAACUAGAAUAUGUAGUGUAGCGGUGAAAUGCUUAGAUAUUACAUGGAAUACCAAUUGCGAAGGCAGGUUACUACUUGUGGAUUGACGCUGAUGGACGAAAGCGUGGGGAGCGAACAGGAUUAGAAACCCGUGUAGUCC